Molecule: long non-coding RNA, 638 nt
Organism: Acipenser ruthenus (sterlet)
Lineage: Eukaryota; Metazoa; Chordata; Actinopteri; Acipenseriformes; Acipenseridae
Exons: 3
Source: RefSeq, a predicted model, not a curated record
CAUUGCUAGUGCAAGCUAAGUUGGUGGCAAAAUUAGCUUCGCAGCCAGUCAGACACUAGAGGAGGGAGAAUUCCGCUGCGAUUUUUGUCUUCCAACAACUACACCCGAACUCGAGAGCAGAAGUCAGUGAGCUCCCGACCUCUGGAGGACAAAGGCCAGUCCUGCAUGUGUCCACGCUGAGCUCACUGGGCACCUGGCCAGUAGGGUUCACUGUAGAGCGAUGAGGAGAAACAGUCCCUGUCGGUUUUACCUCCCUAACCCACAGGAGCACCUGGGCCAAUGGGACGCUCCCUUUGGAGUCUCCAGUGAAGACCGGCCUAAUUCGCACAGCCAGGACGCAAACCUCCGCUGUAUGACUCACCCUGCACACCACAUGGCUGCGAUUCUACCAGACGGCUAACAUGUAUCCAGAGCUGUCGUCUUGGGCCAGCACAAAGCCGGAACAACACUACGCCAUAGUCACUUAAUAAAUUGUUAUCACCCACCACAAGCACUACUGCAUGCACCCGGACUGGUGACCAUGUCCAGUAUUAUUGUGGGGCAGAUAACAUGUAUUUAUUGUUUGGGCUGCAACCCAUUAUUAUUGUUACCUCCGUGCAUUACACAUUGGUGUGUAUUGCCGGAGGUUAUUGUUUGGU